Molecule: ribosomal RNA, 440 nt
Filed under: uncultured bacterium
Lineage: Bacteria
Description: partial 16S ribosomal RNA
Rfam family: Bacterial small subunit ribosomal RNA
Source: RNAcentral
CCUACGGGAGGCAGCAGUGAGGAAUAUUGGACAAUGGGGGAAACCCUGAUCCAGCGACGCCGCGUGAGUGAAGAAGUAUUUCGGUACGUAAAGCUCUAUCAGCAGGAAAGAAAAUGACGGUACCUGACUAAGAAGCCCCGGCUAACUACGUGCCAGCAGCCGCGGUAAUACGUAGGGGGCAAGCGUUAUCCGGAUUUACUGGGUGGAAAGGGAGCGUAGACGGCAGCGCAAGUCUGGAGUGAAAUGCCGGGGCCCAACCCCGGAACUGCUCUGGAAACUGUGAAGCUGGAGUGCAGGAGAGGUAAGCGGAAUUCCUGGUGUAGCGGUGAAAUGCGUAGAUAUCAGGAGGAACACCGGCGGCGAAGGCGGCUUACUGGACUGUAACUGACGUUGAGGCUCGAAGGCGUGGGGAGCAAACAGGAUUAGAUACCCGUGUAGUC